UUCACUUCAGUAAAGCAGAGCAUCUCCAUUCCAGUACUCCUAGAAGAAGCUCUCACUGGCCUGACCUCCUCACGCACAAUUUCACCGCUCCGAGAUCAGCCAACCGCGCCGUCGUGUCACGGAAUUCAACUGAAGCGGUAGACGGAUAACAUCAAAGAAAGAGUUGUACAACUACAGGCAUUCGUCCUUAUGGAUGGUUAUUGAGCGGUCCUUUGGAGUGCUGAAGGCCCGUUUCCCCAUUCUGAAUUUAAUGCCAAACUUCAAGCCAAUUAGGUAGCGGUACGUGGUUAUUGUGUGCUAUGCUCCACACAAUUUCAUACGCAUGAACAAUCGGAGUGAUGAAUUGUUCAAAACAAUAAGAGAGAGUGAUGGCGAAGGUAGUGCAACCAAUGGCGAAGGCGGUGGAGAUGUUGGAGCAUCAACAAGCUCAGCAACCCAAAGGCAUGUACUAGAAAUGUCAAGUGCAUCAAAGAGAGCGAUGGGCCAUGUUAGGGACAAUAUCACAGACACAAUGUGGAAUGAUUAUGUUGCUUAUGGCAAUGUGAGAUGAUUAUAUAUUGAAAAUGGAAAUUGACCAUUUCCUUCGCUGCAUUAUUUUGGGUUUGUGUAAUUUGGAAUAUUAUGUACUUUUAGUUUAUAAGUAUUUUGGGUCUGUGUAAUUUGGAAUGCUUUGUUAUUGUUAAGGGUGAUGUUCUUGGUUCUUCUUAA
Quercus lobata is the source of this 708-nucleotide long non-coding RNA. RefSeq lists it as uncharacterized. Lineage: Eukaryota; Viridiplantae; Streptophyta; Magnoliopsida; Fagales; Fagaceae. The record is from RefSeq and is a predicted model, not a curated record. The transcript is spliced from 2 exons.